AGAGAGAGACAUGCGCGCAUAUCAAUAAGCGGAGGAAAAGAAACUAACAAGGAUUCCCCUAGUAACGGCGAGUGAAGCGGGAAGAGCUCAAAUUUGAAAUCUUAAAGGGUUUCCCUUUACGAAUUGUAGUUUAAAGAAGUGUUUUCUGUUGAGGUUUUGGUAAAAGUUCUUUGGAAUAGGACAUCAUAGAGGGUGAGAAUCCCGUAUUUGACCUUUACUUUCAACUUUGUGAUACACUUUCAAAGAGUCGGAUUGUUUGGGAAUGCAGUCCAAAAUGGGUGGUAAAUUUCAUCUAAAGCUAAAUAUUGGCGAGAGACCGAUAGCGAACAAGUACCAUGAGGGAAAGAUGAAAAGAACUUUGAAAAGAGAGUUAAACAGUACGUGAAAUUGUCAAAAGGGAAGCGUUUGACACCAGUGUUGUUUUUCUGAAAAUCAAUUAAAGAACUGUUUAUGCUAAGCUGUUUAGACUUUAUCAGCUAUCUGUUUAGUUUUGAGCUUUUCUUUAAUGCACUUUUCAGUUAACAAGUCAACAUCAAUUUCUUUUGCUGUAAAAAAGCUUGAGGAAGGUGGCUUGAGAUUCGUCUUAAGUGUUUAUAGCCUCUUGCCUAUGCAGUCGGAGAGAUUGAGGUCUGCAGCGUAGAUCCUUCGGGGCUAAAUGCAUUUGUGCUAAGUUAUAGCAUUUUAUAGACAACUUGUUGACUAUGAUUUGUCUUGUAGCUUACUCGCUUAUGUUAUUUUACCUACGCUUAGGAUGUUGACGCAUGAGAUAUACGC
RNAcentral lists this ribosomal RNA (774 nucleotides) under uncultured Neocallimastigales. RNAcentral's name for it is "partial large subunit ribosomal RNA". It matches the Rfam family "Eukaryotic large subunit ribosomal RNA", at positions 23 to 647 of the family's 3401-position model. Lineage: Eukaryota; Fungi; Neocallimastigomycota; Neocallimastigomycetes; Neocallimastigales. The record is from RNAcentral.